CGUAGGUGGCAAGCGUUGUCCGGAUUUAUUGGGUUUAAAGGGUGCGUAGGCGGUUAUAUAAGUCAGUGCUGAAAUAUCCCGGCUUAACCGGGAGGGUGGCAUUGAUACUGUAUGACUUGAGUAAAGUUGAGGUUGGCGGAAUUGACGGUGUAGCGGUGAAAUGCUUAGAUAUCGUCAAGAACACCGAUUGCGAAGGCAGCUAACUAAGCUUUAACUGACGCUGAGGCACGAAGUGUGGGGAUCAAACAGGAUUAGAUACCCUGGUAGUCCACACUGUAAACGUUGAUUACUCGCUGUUGGCGAUACACAGCCAGCGGCUAAGCGCAAGCGAUAAGUAAUCCACCUGGGGAUACGCCGGCAACGGUG
This 366-nucleotide ribosomal RNA is filed under the name uncultured organism. RNAcentral's name for it is "bacterial SSU rRNA". It matches the Rfam family "Bacterial small subunit ribosomal RNA", at positions 526 to 896 of the family's 1533-position model. The record is from RNAcentral.